Small nuclear RNA from Moniliophthora roreri MCA 2997, 130 nucleotides. It matches the Rfam family "U4 spliceosomal RNA". From Rfam's summary of the family: U4 small nuclear RNA (U4 snRNA) is a component of the major U2-dependent spliceosome. The record is from Rfam. Lineage: Eukaryota; Fungi; Basidiomycota; Agaricomycetes; Agaricales; Marasmiaceae.
UCUCUUGUGCUCGGGCACGUACUAUCGCCAGUGAGGUCUUUACCGAGGCAUAGUCUUUUGCUGAUUGCAAAUUACACAUCCGAACCCGUCUGUUAGCUUCGGCUUCCAGCAAUUUUUGGACACCCCAUUC